Molecule: long non-coding RNA, 547 nt
Organism: Diabrotica virgifera virgifera (western corn rootworm)
Lineage: Eukaryota; Metazoa; Arthropoda; Insecta; Coleoptera; Chrysomelidae
Exons: 3
Source: RefSeq, a predicted model, not a curated record
CCCAUUUGGAUUUUUGUUGGCUGUUUUGUGUGUGUUUUUUUAAACUUUUGUUUGUCAUUUGUAAAUUUUAUAAAUUUACCACAAUGCAAAGUGAUUAUUUAAGGAAAUUAUUAUUGGAAACUACGCAGAUGUUUUAGAAAGAUAUUCAUUGAAGCUGAAAAUAAUUGGAGAUUUAGAUCCAUAUACAAUUCAGUCAUCAGAAUUGGAUUUUACAGUGCAUUCCAUCAAUUACUGUUAGAUAGACAAUGCUAUUAUAGAUAGACUGGUAGAGUCUCACAGUUACUACUUUAAGCAGCAGAUGAAAGCAUACAAAGCCUUCAGGCUCAUAAAAGCCUUCACAACUGGAUUUGUUUUGAAACAUUUGAUGUUUUGAUAUGAUUUCUAUAUUAUUGUUGGAAAGGUGAAGAAUUCCCAAAAAGCUAAUGCUAAACCACUAGAUGCUUGGGUGAUAGCCAGUUCCAAUGGCAUAGCAAAUGCACAUUGUAUGUGUAUUGCCGGUAAUAGUGAAGUUUGCAGCCAUAUUGCAGCAAUCUUAUUUGCAGCUGAG